This is a non-coding RNA of Electrophorus electricus (electric eel), 101 nucleotides long. The record is from RefSeq and is a predicted model, not a curated record. NCBI's taxonomy places the organism in Eukaryota, Metazoa, Chordata, Actinopteri, Gymnotiformes, Gymnotidae.
UGUGCACAACUGAGGAAGAGGAGGAGGAAGGCCAUGUUACUGCACACAUCAAACACGCGGCGGAUCUGUUUGGUGACCUCAGUUUCUAGGAGCCUACAAUG